This 2606-nucleotide ribosomal RNA is filed under the name Staphylococcus aureus FVRH6130. Its description in RNAcentral is "bacterial LSU rRNA". It matches the Rfam family "Bacterial large subunit ribosomal RNA", at positions 312 to 2925 of the family's 2925-position model. Lineage: Bacteria; Bacillati; Bacillota; Bacilli; Caryophanales; Staphylococcaceae. The record is from RNAcentral.
AGUUACAAAGGACGACAUUAGACGAAUCAUCUGGAAAGAUGAAUCAAAGAAGGUAAUAAUCCUGUAGUCGAAAAUGUUGUCUCUCUUGAGUGGAUCCUGAGUACGACGGAGCACGUGAAAUUCCGUCGGAAUCUGGGAGGACCAUCUCCUAAGGCUAAAUACUCUCUAGUGACCGAUAGUGAACCAGUACCGUGAGGGAAAGGUGAAAAGCACCCCGGAAGGGGAGUGAAAUAGAACCUGAAACCGUGUGCUUACAAGUAGUCAGAGCCCGUUAAUGGGUGAUGGCGUGCCUUUUGUAGAAUGAACCGGCGAGUUACGAUUUGAUGCAAGGUUAAGCAGUAAAUGUGGAGCCGUAGCGAAAGCGAGUCUGAAUAGGGCGUUUAGUAUUUGGUCGUAGACCCGAAACCAGGUGAUCUACCCUUGGUCAGGUUGAAGUUCAGGUAACACUGAAUGGAGGACCGAACCGACUUACGUUGAAAAGUGAGCGGAUGAACUGAGGGUAGCGGAGAAAUUCCAAUCGAACCUGGAGAUAGCUGGUUCUCUCCGAAAUAGCUUUAGGGCUAGCCUCAAGUGAUGAUUAUUGGAGGUAGAGCACUGUUUGGACGAGGGGCCCCUCUCGGGUUACCGAAUUCAGACAAACUCCGAAUGCCAAUUAAUUUAACUUGGGAGUCAGAACAUGGGUGAUAAGGUCCGUGUUCGAAAGGGAAACAGCCCAGACCACCAGCUAAGGUCCCAAAAUAUAUGUUAAGUGGAAAAGGAUGUGGCGUUGCCCAGACAACUAGGAUGUUGGCUUAGAAGCAGCCAUCAUUUAAAGAGUGCGUAAUAGCUCACUAGUCGAGUGACACUGCGCCGAAAAUGUACCGGGGCUAAACAUAUUACCGAAGCUGUGGAUUGUCCUUUGGACAAUGGUAGGAGAGCGUUCUAAGGGCGUUGAAGCAUGAUCGUAAGGACAUGUGGAGCGCUUAGAAGUGAGAAUGCCGGUGUGAGUAGCGAAAGACGGGUGAGAAUCCCGUCCACCGAUUGACUAAGGUUUCCAGAGGAAGGCUCGUCCGCUCUGGGUUAGUCGGGUCCUAAGCUGAGGCCGACAGGCGUAGGCGAUGGAUAACAGGUUGAUAUUCCUGUACCACCUAUAAUCGUUUUAAUCGAUGGGGGGACGCAGUAGGAUAGGCGAAGCGUGCGAUUGGAUUGCACGUCUAAGCAGUAAGGCUGAGUAUUAGGCAAAUCCGGUACUCGUUAAGGCUGAGCUGUGAUGGGGAGAAGACAUUGUGUCUUCGAGUCGUUGAUUUCACACUGCCGAGAAAAGCCUCUAGAUAGAAAAUAGGUGCCCGUACCGCAAACCGACACAGGUAGUCAAGAUGAGAAUUCUAAGGUGAGCGAGCGAACUCUCGUUAAGGAACUCGGCAAAAUGACCCCGUAACUUCGGGAGAAGGGGUGCUCUUUAGGGUUAACGCCCAGAAGAGCCGCAGUGAAUAGGCCCAAGCGACUGUUUAUCAAAAACACAGGUCUCUGCUAAACCGUAAGGUGAUGUAUAGGGGCUGACGCCUGCCCGGUGCUGGAAGGUUAAGAGGAGUGGUUAGCUUCUGCGAAGCUACGAAUCGAAGCCCCAGUAAACGGCGGCCGUAACUAUAACGGUCCUAAGGUAGCGAAAUUCCUUGUCGGGUAAGUUCCGACCCGCACGAAAGGCGUAACGAUUUGGGCACUGUCUCAACGAGAGACUCGGUGAAAUCAUAGUACCUGUGAAGAUGCAGGUUACCCGCGACAGGACGGAAAGACCCCGUGGAGCUUUACUGUAGCCUGAUAUUGAAAUUCGGCACAGCUUGUACAGGAUAGGUAGGAGCCUUUGAAACGUGAGCGCUAGCUUACGUGGAGGCGCUGGUGGGAUACUACCCUAGCUGUGUUGGCUUUCUAACCCGCACCACUUAUCGUGGUGGGAGACAGUGUCAGGCGGGCAGUUUGACUGGGGCGGUCGCCUCCUAAAAGGUAACGGAGGCGCUCAAAGGUUCCCUCAGAAUGGUUGGAAAUCAUUCAUAGAGUGUAAAGGCAUAAGGGAGCUUGACUGCGAGACCUACAAGUCGAGCAGGGUCGAAAGACGGACUUAGUGAUCCGGUGGUUCCGCAUGGAAGGGCCAUCGCUCAACGGAUAAAAGCUACCCCGGGGAUAACAGGCUUAUCUCCCCCAAGAGUUCACAUCGACGGGGAGGUUUGGCACCUCGAUGUCGGCUCAUCGCAUCCUGGGGCUGUAGUCGGUCCCAAGGGUUGGGCUGUUCGCCCAUUAAAGCGGUACGCGAGCUGGGUUCAGAACGUCGUGAGACAGUUCGGUCCCUAUCCGUCGUGGGCGUAGGAAAUUUGAGAGGAGCUGUCCUUAGUACGAGAGGACCGGGAUGGACAUACCUCUGGUGUACCAGUUGUCGUGCCAACGGCAUAGCUGGGUAGCUAUGUGUGGACGGGAUAAGUGCUGAAAGCAUCUAAGCAUGAAGCCCCCCUCAAGAUGAGAUUUCCCAACUUCGGUUAUAAGAUCCCUCAAAGAUGAUGAGGUUAAUAGGUUCGAGGUGGAAGCAUGGUGACAUGUGGAGCUGACGAAUACUAAUCGAUCGAAGACUUAAUCAA